This 318-nucleotide ribosomal RNA is filed under the name Triticum aestivum (bread wheat). RNAcentral's name for it is "partial small subunit ribosomal RNA". Lineage: Eukaryota; Viridiplantae; Streptophyta; Magnoliopsida; Poales; Poaceae. The record is from RNAcentral.
AUGGUACAUGAUCAGGUCACGGGGAGGGUGCUGCAUCGAGGCAGAUGUAGAGGAGGUCUCUAUCCAUUGAUUCCAUCUAGGACAUCAAAUAAACAAGCUUAUGGUGUCAUCAAGAUAUCUUCAUCGCGUUGGCACGCUUGGCUUGGUCAUCCUUCGUUUUCAAUAGUUCAACGUGUGCUUAGGAAUAAUAAACUUCCUUGUCAUGGGGAGCUAGAUGUUGAGUCAGUAUGUGACUCAUGUCAACGAGCAAAAAGUCACCAAUUACCCUAUCCAAUGUCUGCUAGUGUAUCUACCAAACCACUUGAGUUGAUCUUUUCU